This 2203-nucleotide ribosomal RNA is filed under the name metagenome. RNAcentral describes it as "bacterial LSU rRNA". It matches the Rfam family "Bacterial large subunit ribosomal RNA", at positions 1 to 2375 of the family's 2925-position model. The record is from RNAcentral.
UCAAGCGAUGAAAGUGCAUUUAGUGGAUGCCUUGGCAUCAAGAGGCGAUGAAGGACGUGAUACACUGCGAUAAGCCCUGGGGAGUUGUGAAUAAACUUUGAUCCGGGGAUUUCCGAAUGGGGAAACCCGCCGUUUUAACGGCAUUUUAUAUUGAAUACAUAGAUAUAAAAAGCAAACCUGGCGAACUGAAACAUCUAAGUAGCCAGAGGAAAGGAUAUCAACCGAAACUCCGUUAGUAGUGGCGAGCGAAAGCGGAUCAGGCCAGUUGCUUGUUAGGUAAAACCAGAAAUGUUUGGGAAAGCAUGCUAUAAAAAGUGAAAGCCUUGUAUGGGUAAAGUGCCUAAUAAGUACUCGAGUAAGACGAGACACGUGAAAUCUUGUUUGAACAUGGGGGGACCACCCUCCAAGCCUAAGUACUCCUUGAUGACCGAUAGUGAACUAGUACCGUGAGGGAAAGGUUAAAAGUACCCCUGUUAGGGGAGUGAAAUAGUACCUGAAACUGGAUGCAUACAAGCAGUCGGAGCCAUUUUAUAUGGUGACGGCGUACCUUUUGUAUAAUGGGUCAGCGAGUUACUCUAUGUAGCAAGCUUAAGCUGUUAAGUGUAGGCGAAGCGAAAGCGAGUCUUAAUAGGGCGAUUUAGUUACAUGGAGUAGACCCGAAACCGGGUGAUCUAGCUAUGAGCAGGUUGAAGGUGUGGUAACACACACUGGAGGACCGAACCCACGUCUGUUGAAAAAGACGGGGAUGACUUGUGGCUAGGGGUGAAAGGCCAAUCAAACCCGGAGAUAGCUGGUUCUCCGCGAAAACUAUUUAGGUAGUGCGUUACGUAUCACCAACGGGGGUAGAGCACUGGAUGGGCUAGGGGGGAGCUAAUCCUUACCAAACCUUACCAAACUCCGAAUACCGUUGAGUGCAGCGUAGCAGACAGACAUUGGGUGCUAAGGUCCAAUGUCGAGAGGGAAAGAGCCCAGACCGCCAGUUAAGGUCCCAAAAUAAUGACUAAGUGGAAAAGGAUGUGAAGUAACCAAAACAACCAGGAGGUUGGCUUAGAAGCAGCCACCCUUUAAAGAUAGCGUAACAGCUCACUGGUCUAAUAGUUANNUUGCGCCGAAGAUGUAACGGGGCUAAAGUCAUUUACCGAAACUGCGGGUGCAUAUUUAUAUGCGCGGUAGCGGAGCGUUCCGUAAGCCGAUGAAGAGUGUUUGUGAGAACAUUUGGAGGUAUCGGAAGUGAGAAUGCUGACACGAGUAGCGACAAACAGUGUGAGAGACACUGUCGCCGAAAAUCUAAGGUUUCCUGCGUAAAGCUAAUCUGCGCAGGGUUAGUCGGCCCCUAAGACGAGGGCGAAAGCCGUAGUCGAUGGGAAUCAGGUUAAUAUUCCUGAACCUGCUAGAAGUGACGAAUACUGUAAAUUGUUUAAUCUUAUUGGAUUGAUUGAGCAAUGAAGGUGUUCCUGGAAAUAACUCUAGCUUAUAGACCGUACCCUAAACCAACACAGGUAGAUUGGUAGAGUAUACCUAGGCGCUUGAGAGAACGAUGAUGAAGGAACUCGGCAAAUUACCCUCGUAACUUCGGGAGAAGAGGGCCCUAUUUNUGGGCAACCANAAAUAGGGGGCACAAACCAGGGGGUGGCGACUGUUUACUAAAAACACAGGGCUCUGCAAACUCGUAAGAGGAAGUAUAGGGUCUGACGCCUGCCCGGUGCCGGAAGGUUAAGAGGAGGAGUGCAAGCUCUGAAUUGAAGCCCCGGUAAACGGCGGCCGUAACUAUAACGGUCCUAAGGUAGCGAAAUUCCUUGUCGGGUAAGUUCCGACCCGCACGAAUGGCGUAACGACUUCCCCACUGUCUCCAUCAUCGACUCAGCGAAACUGAAUUCUCCGUGAAGAUGCGGAGUACGCGUGGUCAGACGGAAAGACCCCGUGCACCUUUACUACAACUUUGCAGUGAUAUUAGAGAUUAAAUGUGUAGGAUAGGCGGGAGCCUUUGAAGUNUUAGCGCCAGCUAGNAUGGAGGCAACCUUGAAAUACCGCCCUUUUNNUNUUUGAUAUCUAACCGAGGUCCGUUAUCCGGAUCCGNGACCCUGCAUGGUGGGUAGUUUGACUGGGGCGGUCGCCUCCCAAAGAGUAACGGAGGCGCGCGAAGGUGGGCUCAAGCUGGUCGGAAAUCAGCUGUUGAGUGCAAUGGCAUAAGCCUGCCUGACUG